Onychomys torridus (southern grasshopper mouse) is the source of this 151-nucleotide small nuclear RNA. RefSeq annotates it as U12 minor spliceosomal RNA. The transcript has a single exon. NCBI's taxonomy places the organism in Eukaryota, Metazoa, Chordata, Mammalia, Rodentia, Cricetidae. The record is from RefSeq and is a predicted model, not a curated record.
AUGCCUUAAACUUAUGAGUAAGGAAAGUAAUGAUUCAGGGUGAUGCCAAACUCCUCACUGCUAAUGUGAGAAGAAUUUUUGAUUGGGUAAAGGUUGCCCCCUAAGGCGACCCUGCUACUUUGCCCGAUGCCUGAGUGCAGUAGCCUGACCG